AUUGAACGCUGGCGGCAUGCCUUACACAUGCAAGUCGAACGGUAACGCGGGGCAACCUGGCGACGAGUGGCGAACGGGUGAGUAAUGCAUCGGAACGUGCCUGGUAGUGGGGGAUAACUGCUCGAAAGAGCAGCUAAUACCGCAUACGACCUGAGGGUGAAAGGGGGGGGAUCGCAAGACCUCUCGCUAUCAGAGCGGCCGAUGUCGGAUUAGCUAGUUGGUGGGGUAAAGGCCCACCAAGGCGACGAUCCGUAGCUGGUCUGAGAGGACGACCAGCCACACUGGGACUGAGACACGGCCCAGACUCCUACGGGAGGCAGCAGUGGGGAAUUUUGGACAAUGGACGCAAGUCUGAUCCAGCCAUGCCGCGUGCAGGAAGAAGGCCUUCGGGUUGUAAACCGCUUUUGUCAGGGAAGAAAUCUUCUGGGUUAAUACCUCGGGAGGAUGACGGUACCUGAAGAAUAAGCACCGGCUAACUACGUGCCAGCAGCCGCAGUAA
Molecule: ribosomal RNA, 499 nt
Filed under: uncultured bacterium
Lineage: Bacteria
Description: partial 16S ribosomal RNA
Rfam family: Bacterial small subunit ribosomal RNA
Source: RNAcentral